Long non-coding RNA from Symphalangus syndactylus (siamang), 6875 nucleotides. RefSeq lists it as uncharacterized. The record is from RefSeq and is a predicted model, not a curated record. NCBI's taxonomy places the organism in Eukaryota, Metazoa, Chordata, Mammalia, Primates, Hylobatidae.
UGAGGUUUCACCAUAUCGGCCAGGCUGAUCUCAAACUCCUGACCUCAUGAUCCACCUGCCUCGGUCUCCCAAAGUGCUGGGAUUAUAGGCGUGAGCCACUGCGCCCGGCCUGCAAUUGUGGAACUUUUAUUAUGUCCCAGUGUCAAAAAGGUGAAGCCAUGAGAUCAGCAGGAUGUAGGGAGAUCCUGUGGAAUGCCUCCCAGUACUCACAUAUCCCAAGAUUAAAGUCGAUUAAAAAAAUUACAAUGGCCUGAAGUAAGCAGACCUGAUAAUGGUCCAGAUCCUUCGAGAAUGAUGAUGUGGGACAUCCUAUACAGCAAGAAACCAUAACCAGCUGAGGUAUUUGCUGAAGGAAAUGCUGGAGUCCUUCAUCACAGUGGUAAAUGGCAUUUGUGACAAAAAUCAAAAUAACUAAAACAGAAUCUGGUUGAAACCUCAGUAGCAAUAGUCCUGUCUACUGCCACACUAACCAGACCAACUCUCUAAAUGAAGUUCAUCCUGAACAAUCUGAUCUCAGAUUUACUCCUGUGUCAGCUAGUCCUCUGGAGGAAGUAGAAAUGAGAUAAUGGGGGAGCUAAUAAAACCCAGGCCAGAGCACACAAUGUGGAAAUGAAAACCUUAUCCUUGUCAAUGGAUGGAGGGUGGCCUGUACAAGAAACAUGGUGCCAGCAUCUGCUUCUGGUGAGGACUGCAGGAAGCUUCCAAUCGUGGUCCAAGAAAUGCGGAGCCUGCGUUUCACGUGAUAAGAGAUGGAGCAUGAGAAAGAGGCAGGAGGAGAAAGGUGCCAAGCUAUUUUUAACAAUCAGAUCUCGAGGGAACCAAUAGAACAAGAACUCAUGAUCUCAGCACCAAGCCAUUCAUAAGGGAUGUGCCCCAUGACUCAAACACCUCUCACUAGGCCCCACUUCUAAUUCUGAGAUCAAAUUUCAACAUGAGAUUUUGAGAGGACAGAUAUGCAAACUCUUUCACCUUGAAAGAGAGUAUUUCUGGGAAUAUUAAGAAGGGUUCACAAAGCAGACUCAGGGGUUGGGUUUUGUGUGUAACCAUGGUAUGGAAUCCACACGCAGUCCAUGUUGCUAGCUCCAGUUUUGGAGGCUGAGAGGUGACUAAGUCAGGCGUUCAACCUAGAUUCUUCAACCUAGUCCUUCACUUAAGCACUUGGCUGAAAGAUUGGCUUCGGAAGACAGUACUCCAGCUGGGAUGUUGCACAUGGAACAGAUUGAUCUUGAAAUCUGGUCCUGAAGUCGACUUCACAGCAGGAAUUUCACACAUGCAGGCACAAAUGAGCACUUGUGAAAAUCUCCAUGAAAUAGCUGCUAAUAUUGUCUAAACUGGCUUUCAGCUUGGUAGCCAGUCUUCCAUAUAAAUGUCAAAUUAACUGGAUAAUUAUACCUCAAUAUGAACUCAAUGUCCAACAUUAGCUUUUUGGGAGAUUUAUUUUUCUUUAAACAGUGCUGGCUUCGUAAUCUUUUAGAAACAUUGUUUCUCUCAGAUUCUGAGAAGUAUUCAAAUAAAUAAAAGAGUAAACCAAAUGGAUUAUCAUUUUCCUCUUUCCUCUUCCCUCCCUCCCUUCCUCCUUCUUCCUUCCCUGUACCUAGUGUGUGCAAAGAACUAUGCUGGGUGUUGUGGAAUAAAACAAGUUAACAUAACCUUUCAGUAAUCAACUAGCAACCUCAUGGGGAAGACAGAAAAAUGUUAAGCGUAAAAUACCGUAAAUAUGCUCUAAUAGAAAUAUCAACUAUGUGUUUUGAAAACAUACAGAUUCUAAGUCCCAAAACAACCAGGACCUGCUCUCUUGGCUACUGCUUUUAACUACGUUGAUUAGCAAGAUGAUGACACAUAGUAGGUGUUUAAAAGAUAGAACAGGGAAUGCAUUUUCUAAUUUUGUGAAAAAGAUAAGUGGCAAAGAGAUGAAAACAAAGAAGAUUAUAUUUGAGCUGGAAUAUAAAGGAAUUUCUUUUUUCUUAGCCUGUUUUAAUUUUGUUGUUUUUGUUUUGUGAAAAAAAAAAAAAAAACCCUGGAUGCUUCAAACACUUUCUCUUUCUACAGUGACCCCACCUUUACAAUUGUCUGUAAUUCUCACUAGCAGUAUAUUAGAGGGCAAAAGAUUUGAACAGACACAUCAGAAAAGAAGACAUACAAAUGGUCACUAAGCACUUGAAAGGAUUCUGAACAUCAUCAGUGAAAUGCAAAUUAAAGCCAUAAUGAAUGGCGCUAUACAUUUUGAGAAUGACAAGGAUUAAAGACUGAAAAAAAUCAAGCGUUGAGACAGAUUCUUGCUCUGUCACCCAAGUUGGAGUGCAGUGGUGCGAUCAUAACUCCACAACCUCAAAUUACUCAGCUCAGAAGAUCCUCCUGCCUCAGCCUCCUGAAUACCUAGUAUUACAGAAUACCAGAGACUGGAUAAUUUAUGAAGAAAAUAAAUUAUUUCUCACAGUUCUUGAGGCUGGAAAGUCCAGGAGCAUGACGUGGAAGGUCAUUUAAUGGAGGAAGGCAUCACGUGAAGAGAAUACAGGAGGCUGAGGAAAUUUCUCAGUUCCCAAGGAAGCCAUGUUCUGCAUUGCUCCCCUCACAUUUGGAAAAGGACAAUGGAAAAGAAAGGUACUCUCAGAGGAUUAAAUAAAGAUUCAUAGAGAAUAAUGAAUUGGAGCCUGUUAUGGGAAGUGGAACUUGGGUUCCAUCAAUACACAUUACCAAUCUUUAAGGAAAACCCUCUAUGAUUAGUGUUUGAUGAUCUGUCUGUGGAUCUGCCGGCAGCCUUGUGACUUGCAUUCUCUUUAAGAUUUCUUUAACAAGCUGCACUCUUCUGGUCCUUGUUUGUUACGGCUUCAGCUGAGCUUUUGCUCGCAGUCCACCACUGCUGUUUUGCCACCAUCGCAGACCCGCCGCUGACUUCCAUCCCUCCGGAUCCAGCAGGGUGUCUGCUGUGCUUGUGAUCCAGCGAGGCACCCAUUGCCGCUCCCAAUUGGGCUAAAGGCUUGCCAUUGUUCCUGUACAGCUAAGUGCCUGGGUUCGUCCUAACUGAGCUGAACACUAGUCACUGGGUUCCAUGGUUCUCUUCCGUGACCCAUGACUUCUAAUAGAGCUAUAACACUCACCGCAUGGCCCAAGAUUCCAUUCCUUGGAAUCCGUGAGGCCAAGAACCCCAGGUCAGAGAAAACGAGGCUUGCCACCAUCUUGGAAGUAGCCCGCCGCCAUUUUGGAAGUGGCCCACCAGCAUCUUGGGAGCUCUGGGAGCAAGGACCCCCCAGUAACAUUUUGGCGACCACGAAGGGACAUCCAAAGCGAUAAGCUGAGACCAUCCUUGAAAUAGACUCACUUUGGUGUAAUCAGCUGAAGUUCACUGAAUGUGGUGGCACAAGACUGUAGUCCCUUGGGAAGCUCAGGCAGAAAGAUCUCGAGCCCAGGAGUUCAAGACUGUCAUAUGCUAUGAUCCCACUUCUGCAUAUCUGCUGCACUCCAGCCUCGACACAAUAUCUGUCUAGGUCUCCACCGAACAUAUCCACUGCUCGAUAUAAUAACUGGAAUAAACUAUUCUGAAAAAGUUAAAUGAGAAUUACCUGGCUACACGGGAAGCCUCCGUUUCUAAUUAGGAUGCAAAUUUAAAUUUUGAAAAAUAAACAAGUAUUGGGAGGAAAUCAAGAAACUGAAAACAGAAUGCCUAUUGUGACCAUUCUCCGUGCACUAUAAAUAAAGGACACAACCACGUUGAAGAGGUAGAGAAGAAAGGAUCUCAUCUAAGUGAUUUUGGACAACAGUGUUUAAACGGGAUACUGGAAGGCUAAAGACAAAAGGAACUGUAUAUAAACAUUGUACUCCAGUUGAGUAAGUUAGUUUCUCGAGGGGGUAUGAAUUAGCAAUUCUGAAACUGCUUUUUAUUUACCCAGAGGAUGAACUGAGAAGUAAAUAUAUGAUAUAUGAUGAGAGCCAGUUUUCUCACCAUUAAAGAAAGAAUUUAAAAUAAAGAGGAAAUAAGAGGGGAAGAAAAAAGGGAGAAUGCUAGGAGGAGCCCUGUGUGGUUGGAUUUGAAUUGGAGGUACCUGUAUAAACUCAUUGAUAGGGCUCGGCUAUGUCCUCACCCAAAUCUCAUCUUGAAUUGUAGUGCUCAUAAUCCACAUGUGUUGUGGGAGGGACCCAGUGGGAAAAAAUUUAGUCAUAGGGGCGGUUACCUCCAUGCUGUUCUCAUAAUAGUGACUGAGUUCUCACAAGAUCUGAGGGUUUUAUAAGAGGCUUUCCUGGACUUCACUCUGCACUUCUCCUUGCUACCACCAUGUGAAGAAAAAUGCAUUGGCUUCCUCUUUCACUGCGAUUGUACGUUUCCUGAGUUCUCCCCAGCCAUGCUGAACUGUGGAAGCAGACUGAAAGUGUAGAAGGAGGUUAGUGAACGUCUUCUGGCCUGUUCAUCUGACCCUUGCAUUAAGAAAAUAACGAUGCCACUCUGGAGAAGCACCUAGGAUUCAGUAAUACAUCUGAUUUAAGAAGCUGACAAAUCAAGGGGAAUAAGUCUCAAUCAAAUUUCUGAAUUACAAUGAAGAGAUUCCCAGCUACUAUGGACACUGAGGCAGGAGAAUUGCUUGAAUCCGGGAGGAGGUGGCAGUGAGCCAAGAUUGCGCCAUUCCAGCGUGGGCGACAGAGCAAGACUCCGUCUCAAAAGAAAAAAAAAAAAGAAAAGGAAGAGAUACUAUUGUGUUUUCUGAAUGUUUGUUUUGAAUCUUUCUUCUGAUCUGUUGCAUUCCAGGCAAACUCUCUGGAGCAAAAGGGCAAGGAGCAGAAUUGAUGUCAACACACAGAUAAGGGUCCAACAAAGACAGUCAGUUGGUUUCAUACCUUCAAUAGGUUUCGGUACAAAAUGUGAUGAGGGCUUGGUUUUCUUCACUCUGUUCCCCUUCAUAAUUUGACCUUCUUUAUUGAGUCCCAGAAACCAAGCUCGGCCUGAUUCUUGCUGGCGGUACAGUGUGGAAGAAUAGAUCACAUAGUAAUUUUCAAACACAGAUUCCUUGAAUUUGCAUUCUGGAGUGAAAACAUCCUGUAGAAAAAAAAAAAAAAAAGACACAAAAAAGAGAAAUGAUUUAAAGGUGAAUCAGCAAAUGCUUAAAUCCAAUAAGCUUGAAAUCCAUGUCCUCUGUUAAGAACAAAUGAAAGGCAAUGACACAUAGUUUCUGUUAGCCUUUGGUUAUAAAGAUUCAUCAUGCAAAAUAAAAAAACGUGAUUUCCUUUCUAGCCGACCUUUAGCCCAGAGAUAAUAACUUGCUCAGGCUUGAAGCUAGGUAAAAAUCAUUCACGACUGUGGCCAAGUCUGCGCUCUGAUCCUAGCAAUAUGUUUUGUAAACUAAAGUGAUUGGCCAUUCCUCAUUUACUCACCCUUAACAUGUAAAUAAGGAACUAAAAUUUAUCCUGGAAAUCAAAAUCAAAUAUAACCGCAGCAAACACAGGCACACAAGUUGCUUUUGAAGAGGCUAUUCUGUAUAUACAAAAAUGUAUUACAUAGCCACAGCCUGGUCAGGAAAAUCACCAAUUUUCCUAAUGUCGGUAACUUCCUCUUUAAUUUCGUUAAAACAUUUUUUUUCCUUAGUAAUCAAAAUCUCAGGUAAAAAGCCCAGGAAUAAUAGGAAAAAAUUACUAUUAUAUUGAAGAAAAUUACUAAUAGUAUUAGUAAUUCCUAUUACUAUUGACCUCAGUGAAACACAGAAUGAGAGUUUUAGUCUCAGAAGAAACUGUAAGAUCCGAUACUUCAACAUUUGGUAAGUGAGAAAACCAAAAGGUUAUAUGAUUAAUUCAAAUAUCCAUUUAAAAAACUACUGAGCCAGAGCUCACAUUUAUUGCUUCACAAUCACAGCCUCUCAGGCUCACCUUUUCUGCCUGAGUCUUGUUUAGUGACUUAUCAUGAGAUUUUAAAAUCAAUACAAUAAAAUCAUAUCCUAAUAUGUCACAUGAACAAAAUGUAUUUUGUGGAAGGAAGAAAUUUCUCCCCUUCUGAGAUCAGCAGAAGAAAAACAAAUGCCAUUGCAUCUUCUUCAGCUGCAAUUAAUUAAGAGUCCUACAUGUCCCACAUAUUCACCAUAGUCACCAUCUUCCUCUCCAUGAACUGGAAGAAUUUCAACGUGAGACCACCAUGAUUUAAUGCAAGCAAACCUGGAAUUAAGUUAUUAAUGAAUACAGGAAUAUUAAUGAAUAUAGGUUGGUUGAAACCAUGUCCUUGUAGGUGAUACUCCCAUGCUAAUCUCCUUAUUUGUAAGAGUGCUCUGUCUCUCUCUCCUCUUUCUCUCUCUCUCUCUCUCCUUUUUUUUCUUUUUGUAAGAGGUGGGGUCUUGCUAUGUUGCGCAGGCUGGCCUCAAACUCCUGGGCCCAGAAGAUCCUCCCACAUCAGCCUCCCAAGUAGCUGGAACUACAGGUGUGUACCACAGCACCCAGCUUGUUUUUGAAUAGUUCUAGCAUUAUAGACUAAGAAAAAUGAGACUAAGAGAACUGGAGUAGGCUGGGGUGUGGUAGCUUACCUCUGUAAUGCCAGCACUUCGGGAGGUUGAGUUAGGCAGAUCAUUUGAGGUCAGGAGUUCGAGACCAGCCUGGCCAACGUGGUGAAAUCCCAUCUCUACUAAAAAUGCAAAAAUUAGCCGGGUGUGGUGGCGGAUGCCUGUAUUCCCAGCUACUCGGGAGGCUGAGGUGGGAGGAUGACUUGAACUGGGGAGGUGGAUGUUGCAGUGAGCAGAGAUUACACCCCACACUCCAGCUUGGGUGACAGAGUGAAAUCGAAUCUCAACCCCCCCUCAAAAAAAAAAGUCCAAGAAAACACCCCCCAAAGAAAAUUGGAGUAUAAAGGUGGUUGUAGAUAGUAAGAUAAUAAGAAUAGCAAUAAAUUAAUAUUAUGUUUAUAUUAA